This 336-nucleotide long non-coding RNA is filed under the name Jatropha curcas. RNAcentral's name for it is "long non-coding RNA (JCUR_LNC003288)". The record is from RNAcentral. Lineage: Eukaryota; Viridiplantae; Streptophyta; Magnoliopsida; Malpighiales; Euphorbiaceae.
UACAACCACUUGAAUGGUUCAGUUCCAUCUACUCUUCAAAAGUUCCCUAUCUCCUCCUUUGAGGGGAAUGAUAUGCUAUGUGGACCACCACUCAACCGGUGUUCCUCACUUGUGCCCUCCCCUUCGCCUUCCCCCACUUCCUUACCACCUUCUCCAACCAACUCCCAGUCCCCCACUUCCUUACCACCUUCUCCAACCAACUCCCAGUCCCCCAUUUCCUUACCACUUUCUCCGACCAACUCUCAAAAACCAACAUACAGUUCAAAGAAGAAACUAAGUACUGGGUCUAUCAUUGCCAUUGCAAUUGGAGGAGCUGCGAUACCAUUCUUUUUAUUU